AGCGAACGCUGGCGGUAGGCCUAACACAUGCAAGUCGAACGAGACCUUGAGUCGAGUGGCGAACGGGUGCGUAAUACAUGGGAACCUGCCUUAUACUCUGGGAUAACUACUGGAAACAGUGGCUAAUACCGGAUACUCCAUAUUGGGAAAGCUUUUGCGGUAUAAGAGGGGCCCAUGGCCGAUUAGCUAGUUGGUGAGGUAACGGCUCACCAAGGCAACGAUCGGUAGCUGGUCUGAGAGGAUGAUCAGCCACACUGGGACUGAGACACGGCCCAGACUCCUACGGGAGGCAGCAGUGGGGAAUCUUGCGCAAUGGGGGCAACCCUGACGCAGCCAUACCGCGUGCGUGAUGAAGGUUUUCGGACUGUAAAGCGCUUUCAGCAGGGAAGAUAAUGACGGUACCUGCAGAAGAAGUCCCGGCUAACUCCG
Molecule: ribosomal RNA, 429 nt
Filed under: uncultured bacterium
Lineage: Bacteria
Description: bacterial SSU rRNA
Rfam family: Bacterial small subunit ribosomal RNA
Source: RNAcentral